This is a long non-coding RNA of Dama dama (fallow deer), 6370 nucleotides long. RefSeq lists it as uncharacterized. The transcript has 2 exons. NCBI's taxonomy places the organism in Eukaryota, Metazoa, Chordata, Mammalia, Artiodactyla, Cervidae. The record is from RefSeq and is a predicted model, not a curated record.
AUGAUGUAAGUUUCUCAACCAGGGAUUGAACACAGGCCACAACAGUGUAAGCACCAAAUCCUAAACAGUGGACUGCCAAGGGAACGCCUCCCUGAGACCAUUGUUAAUAGGUUUUAUUAUAUUAAAUAUUACUUAGUUGAUAUCAAGGGAGAAACUGACUUUCAGGGUUUUUGAUGCCAAAAAUCUUGGCUAAGUUUUCAGCUAGUGUACCCAGACUUAAAAAGCGAUGGAGAUAAGACCCACUAAUCUCUUGCAUUUAUAGUGGCUUUCGCAUUCCAGUAAGAAUGAUGUAGCCUGUGUUAUAUUCACUUUUAUGUAAACUUAAGAGAACUAUAGGUUGUUAAAGCAAAAGACUGUCUCACAAUUUCAAUGACUUAAUAGAUACUCCCUCUUAUUUCCCCAAGAGUUCUAGGUGAAAAAUGGUAUUUUUUCCUAAAUCAUUGAGACAUUUAAUGAAAGGAACUGUGAGCACACAUAAAUAUAACCUCUGGUUCUGACUUUUCUGUAAAAGGAGAUGCUGUUAAAUUGUGAUGUUGAAUUGGCCAAAAAGUUUGAGUUUUCCCCCAAGAUCUUACAGAAAAACAAAUCUUUUUGGCCAACCCAGUAAUUUGCAAGCUUACAUUCUUCUAUGAGAUACAGCUUGUAUUAAAAAAAAAAAAAAAGACUCUGCCUAGAGGAUUUUUUGCUUCAUUUACACAUUUUUUUGUGAAGGCUUAGUUUUACAAAAUAUAGGAAAUGUACAUUGCUGAUCAUUUGCCCUGUAAUACCUUAUAUGUUAUGAACAUUUCCUGGCACAUUUUUAUUUUACUUAGUUGUUAUCUGAGAGGGUAGGACAAAUCUUUCUUUUUUAAAAAAAAUUUUAAAGCUGUAUGUUCUGAGGAAGAAGACUAUCAAACCCUACCUAGUUCAUAGAGCAUUAUUCAAAUUAUCCCCAAAUUCCCUAAGUUACUCUUAACAUUUUACUAGUUAAGAGUCAACCUGUUUAACAGAUAUAAAUCAAAAUGAGCAAUAUGAGUCUACUUUUUUUGUGUUAGUAACUUGUGUUUUUAAAAUUUUAGAAUUAGUGUUCAUUUACUUAUGGGCUCUCAGUUCUGAAAUUCUUGGCAAAACUCAUUUGGUGUUAGGCUGUUAAGCUGAUCAGGACACAGAAGACAGUGUAACUGUGAAACUAGCCUCCCAAAUUUGCUCUCCUACUGAUACUGAUUUAUACAUUUUCUAGAAAUUACAGAGUGUAAAUGUUCUCGUAAGCAUCAGCAAUCUCCUCUUCCUGCCCAUUCCCAGUAAACUGUCUUUAACAUCAUGUAUUCAUAUUUUAUUGUCAGAAUGAAGCAUUUUAUUGCACCUUUUCCUAGGGAGCUUGGUGGUUUGGGAAUGAUAACUCUUUUAAGUUGAUUUUCCUCUCCCCUCUAUUUUCAAGAACUGUUCACAGGUAAUCAGUAGCCCAGUAGGAAAAUUAUAUUUUUUACAAGCGUUAAGGAAUUAAUGAUUCAGUGGUUAGGACUUGGCAAUUUCACUGCUUGGGUUCGAUCCCUAGUCAGGGAAUUAAGGUCCCAAAAGCAGCACUGCAUAACCAAAAAGGGUUUAAAAAAAAAAGUUUAAAAAUUUUUGGCCUCCCAGUGUGGCAUGUGGGGUGUUAGCUCCAUGACCAGGGAUCGGACCCUCAACCCCUGCAUUGGACCUCCAGUAAAGUCCCCAAAAAGCUUUCACUUUUCUGACACCCUGAGUCACUCUCCUUGGAAAGUUUCCUUGGUGCUUUGCCGGUUCUCUCUGUGACUAUCUUGUUCUUAUCUGUUCUAUUGCCCUUUUUUCCUUCUAUGCUUGUUUUCUUGAUCUCAACUAUUAUUUCCAGCUGCAUGUCACAUCUGUGUGGACUCCUGCUGUAAUGUCAGGACUUGAUUAAUCUGUGUUCUAUGCAGGUUUGCCUCGUCAGCUUUUCGCUGUACACGUUCGAGCGCUUUGCCCUGUCAGUGGUUAUAUACUGUUAACUUACCACACAGUUACAUCCGAUGACUUGUUAAAUAAGCCUGAAAAUCCUCUGUCCAAGUCCUGCUGUACCCUUUGAGAAUUAAUGUCUGAUUGAACUUUGUAUUUACAAAUACUUUAAGUGUUUCCAGAUGUGUAAGUGGCACGUUAUAACCACUCUCCAUAUCUAUUUCUACAAUAGCACUGUCUAGUAGAAGUAAACUGCAAGCCAUAUAUGUAAAUUAAAAUUUUAUAAUUUGGCCUGAGCUCAUCCUUCUGGUCUUAAAUUUCCAUUGGUCUCGCCUUGUAAACAAACUGCUAGCGUUGUCUGUCUUUGGUGCACUUCACAUUUCUGGUAUCUUACCUAAUGGGUGUCCCCACCCUACCCAUCUAAGCCAAGUGGUCAAAAAUCCUCUUCAGUGAAAACAGUAAAGUCUCCUUGCUGCAGGUGAAUUAAAAUGAUCACAAAGUAUCCCUGAGGAACAGUUAGAACAGUAAAAAUCUUGGCUUUCUGGAGCUAAUACAAGGCCGUUAGCUGAUUUUUCUUCCUUUAUUGCUUGUGCUACAGGUUUGUAACAGCUAUUUAUGUGUAAGUCAAAAUCCCAAAUUUAUGAACCUCUGCUUGAAGGAGCAAAACUGUGGUGUUGAAAAAUCUGACAAUAUUUGCAAAUACGAUAUUUCUAUGCUUCAUAAUUGCAAGAAGAAUCUUCAGAAAUAGUUACAUUUACUGUUGCUACUAUCCUUCAAAUUCAUUUUCUGUCAACAGUGUUACGUGUUCAUUACCAUUUCCCAUCCUCUGCUGUUAUCAAUAGCAGUUUCAUAGGCUGCUUUACGGGGCUUCCCUGGUGACUCAGGAAAGAAUCUGCAUGCAGUGCAGGAGACUAGGGUUUGAUCCUUGGGUGGGGAAGAUCCCCUGGAGAAGGGGAUGACAGCCCACUCCAGUACUCUUGUCUGGAGACUCCAUCCCAUGGGGAGAGAAGGCUGGCGGGCUACAGUUCGUGGCGUUGCAGAGUCAGACGUGACUGUGCUGCUAGUGGUAAGAGGCUGUGAAACUUGGUAGAGAGCGAAUACAUAGGCUUACACUGAUUUAGGGAUAAUAUAUGAGGUAUCACCGACAUCUGAAAAUCCAGGACAUGUAAAGGUCUGUUUAGGUAGGUGUCAGUUGUUUGUCUUUUAACUGUGAGGCUUUGCAAAAAUUGCUCCAACCCUGCCAUCAGUGUUUCUGUGGGCAUUCUUGGAGAAGCUUUCUUAGUCUUUGGAGAUACAGAACUGAAAGUGAGCUGUUUUUUUUUUUUUGUUAUAUGGGUUGGUGGUUUUUUUUUUUAAACAAUGGAAGAGAAGUGCUCACUGAACAUCUGGAUAAUUCAAUUAUAUUGAAUAAAUACAUAUCUUGAACUUUUCACAAAAUCAAAGCAUAUAGGCCACAUGACUUUGAUAAUCCUCAGAAUUCAGACUGUUUUGAGAUGUGUUGUUCUGAGCUAAAAAUAGAAAAAAUUAAAUGGUAACUCAAUAUACAGGGACAAUUUUCAAAUUGUUUCAAUAAAAAUUUCCAAAAUUACUUAACUGUUCAAGAUUUCUAUUUAGAUACACUGUAUGGAGCUGUGGUGUUUUUUUUUUUUUAAUGUUUUAAAUUGGAAUCAGUUUAUCAAAUACAAUAUAGUUUCUAUCUAUAUGAAAGGAAUAUAAAAAUUUAUUUUAAUUACUUGUUAGCAGCCUUCUAGAAUUGGAAUUGAAGUACCAGUAUUAGUGAUCUUCACAGUUCUGAACCAACUCUAAUUGCAUGUGGUUUAUAGGUACCAUGGCAAAAUGCUUUUGUUUUUAUAUUCUAGAAAACAGCUACUGAGAAAGAAGAGGAAUGAUUACAAAGACUUUACAAAAUAUUUUCAAGUUACUGAAGUCAGUUGAAAGCUGUAUUUAAACAUCUGCAUAUAAAGCCGUUGCCUAGUCAACAUAAGAAAUAAGGCAUGCGUGUGUGCUCAGCCGUGACCGACUCUUUGUGAUUCCAUGGACUGUAGCCUGUCAGACUCCUCUUCCAUGGAAUUUUCCAGGCAAGAAUACUGGGGUGGGCUGCUCUUUCGUACUCCAGGGCAUCUUCGCAACUCACGUCUCUUCCAUCUCCUGCAUUUACUGGUGGAUUCUUUACCACUAAUGCUACCUGGAAAACCUUAUCAACAGGCAGGUGAAUAUAUUUUCAGUUUCUAAUCAGUUAAUAAUUUAUAUUUUCUGAAGUUAUGAUCUAUUAACAUCAAAGUGAAGUUUGAGAGGAGGGUUAUUCCAACAUAUCUUAGAAAUAAGAUGAUAAACAUGAAGUGUUUAAUUUUUGGUGCUAAGAAACAGGAGACAGCUCAGAAUUUCAAGCCUAGAUAGCUUUUACCCAGAGUAUUUCUUUGAUCCACUGGUUCUGUAAAGUAGUAGUUCUUCAUAUCUAACCGUUGGAUGUCUGUCUUCAUGACUGCACAAGAAAGUGGGGGUUGGUUAAAUACGAAAGUAGCUGCAUUUUUACAUCUUGAACUCCCAUCGAAAAGUUCCUUAAUGCUCUUCCUUCAAUUGCAUAUUCUCCAUCGUAAUGAGUUCUUUCUUUUGAAAACCAAGGAAGGGAACAUUUUGUGAGGUAUAGAAGGCAAAUUAAUCCUUUUACAGCUAUCAUAUCCAGAGGUUGAUACAUAGGGAUAGGUUGUAGGGAGAUGAGGCUAUUAUGAAAUGUAAAAUUAAGACUAAAAGUAACAUUAAAAAUGCCACAAAAGGUAAAACAAGAACAUUGAUGCUUUGAGAUUGGGGGUGGGGGGGCAGGGAACUGGGGUUGGAAAUGCCAAUCCUGUGAUAGGAGAACAUACUCCAAAUUACAGGAGGCAACUGUGACAGGGAGAGGCUGAAACGGCUUCAAGGGGUAAGUAUUCCUUUCUCCUUUACACACUCAGAUGCCACACAAACAGUGGCCCUCUACAGUUAAAGUCUGGUGUAUAUUCAGGGUCAUCAGAGUUAAGUAGGCCUAGUCACAAGGGAUUCAAGUAGUCAACACCAUCUUUUCAAAUUUCUGAAGCAUUUUAAAUACUUUGCCUUGUGCUGCAUCACUUCUGAAAAUUAAGUGAAAGCAAAGAGAUAAAUCCUCGUAUGCUCAAAUUGUUGUCUUCCCAGAGGACUUUCUUGAUCCUCAACCAGUUGAAAAUUUCCCUUUCCCAGCAUCUGUCAUUAAAAAAAAAAGCUGUUACAGCCUUUAUAUAUAAAUAUGCCCUGUAUGAUACGUUAUUUUUCUUAUGUGACAUGUCUCCUUCACUAGAUUGUAAGCCUUUGGAGGUCAGCAAGAGAGCAUCUAAAUCAUUUUAUCUGCCACCACAUUUAGUACAGUGCCUUACACUUAUUUGCUAAUUUAAUAAACAUUAAAAUGGAGAUAUUGUAGUUUGAUGUUUAUGAGCUCUUUAGAUGAACGCACUAUUAACCAUUUACUAUUUAUAUUUUGAGAAUGUACCACUAGCAUAUGUGAUAACCGUGGCAUUUAUAAAAAAUUUAUGUCUUUAAUUGUCCUGACUCUCCACAAGUAAUACUAGUCUGGAGUAGCACUGUCUAGUAGAUAUAUAGUACAAGCCACAUUUGCAAUUUUCUACUUGCUAUAUUACAAAAGUAAGAAAGAGGAGGUUAAUUUUUAGCCCAUUAUUUCCAAAAUACCAUUUAACAUGUAAUCAACUUUUGAAAAAGUUGAGAUAGUUGAUACUAUUGUUUUCAUGUUAAGGCUUCAAAAUCUGAUGUCUAUUUUGCACUUACAGCACAUCUCUUCAAAUUAUCCACAUUUCAAGUGUUCAGUAGCAGCAUAAUGCAUAGUGGCUGCAAUACUUGCACAGUGCAGGUCUGGAACUCGAGGGCAGGCGGCAAACUUUUGGACUUCGGUUUUCAAGCUAUCUUACAGCUUUAAUUUUAUGUCAUUGUCAUUUUAGGUGGUUACAAUCCAAAUAAAGCUAAUUGGUUUGGCUUUUUUGUUUGUCAUGUUAAUCCAUAAAAUAUUUUUUUGUAUUAAGCAUUUUAAAUAAUAGCCACUUUCUACCCAAUUUAAUCUUAAGACUUCUGAGGAAUGUAACUUUUAGAGUUGAGAAUGUUGGGUUUGAGAUACACCAAGUUUUAACUGUGCUCAAUGAAACUGCUAGUAGAAGGUGAAGCUGAUUUCCGAACCAGGAUUGAUUAUGGAUAUCCCAUAUCCUCACUAGGAAGUUCAUAUCUUUUUUUUUUUUUUUUUUCGUAUUUAUUUGGCUGCUUCGGGGGUCGCAUCAUGUGGGAUCUUAGUUGUAGCAUGUUGGAUCUAGCCCCCUCCAGGGAUUGAACCCUAGCCCCCUGCAUUGGGAGUGCAGAGUCUUAGCCUCUGGACCACCUGGGAAGUUCCCAGGAAGUUCAUAUCUUUUAAUAAAAAGUUGGAAAGAAA